GUUAGCAUGGUAAAAAUCCCACACAUAAUGAGAAUUCAGGAGCACAGUAUCACAAUGGCCAAGUUUCCUAAUUACAGGAUUAUGCCAGGACAGAGCUGAUUCCUUCCCUGUACCUGCAGAUGUUCUCUUGGAAUACCACUAAGCCUUGGGACACCCAGAUAUCCUGCCUUCCCAGCCUUGACUCCAUAGGAAAGCAGUGGAAAGAGGGAAGAUAUUGCUAUGCCAUUCUGCCAUUCUUUCUCUAGUGACACAAGGAUGGAUCCAGAAACUCUGGACCUCAAAAUAACCUGUGGUAAUAUGAGGAGAUGAGAAUCCAGCAUCUGCAUCUUACAGAGAUCUCCAAACAUAAAAUGUGAAGGGGGAAAAUAACAAC
This 373-nucleotide long non-coding RNA is filed under the name Callithrix jacchus (white-tufted-ear marmoset). RNAcentral's name for it is "lncRNA (ENSCJAG00000076302.1)". Lineage: Eukaryota; Metazoa; Chordata; Mammalia; Primates; Cebidae. The record is from RNAcentral.